This 43-nucleotide transfer RNA is filed under the name Equus caballus (horse). Its description in RNAcentral is "partial transfer RNA-Pro". Lineage: Eukaryota; Metazoa; Chordata; Mammalia; Perissodactyla; Equidae. The record is from RNAcentral.
CACGGAAUAGUUUAAAUAGAACUUCAGCUUUGGGUGUUCAUGG